GACGAACGCUGGCGGCGUGCUUAACACAUGCAAGUCGAACGGUGAAAGCAGAGCUUGCUCCGCUGGAUCAGUGGCGAACAGGUGAGUAACACGUGGGCAACCUGCCCCUCACUUCGGGAUAACUCCGGGAAACCGGGGCUAAUACCGGAUAUGACCUCCUUGGGCAUCCUUGGAGGUGGAAAGUUUUUCGGUGAGGGAUGGGCCCGCGGCCUAUCAGCUUGUUGGUGAGGUAGUGGCUCACCAAGGCGACGACGGGUAGCCGGCCUGAGAGGGCGACCGGCCACACUGGGACUGAGACACGGCCCAGACUCCUACGGGAGGCAGCAGUGGGGAAUAUUGCGCAAUGGGCGAAAGCCUGACGCAGCAACGCCGCGUGCGGGAUGACGGCCUUCGGGUUGUAAACCGCUUUCAGCAGGGAAGAAGCCGCAAGGUGACGGUACCUGCAGGAGAAGCACCGGCUAACUACGUGCCAGCAGCCGCAGUAA
RNAcentral lists this ribosomal RNA (485 nucleotides) under uncultured bacterium. Its description in RNAcentral is "partial 16S ribosomal RNA". It matches the Rfam family "Bacterial small subunit ribosomal RNA", at positions 28 to 523 of the family's 1533-position model. The record is from RNAcentral.